GUGGGUUGGGUCGGCUAUCCAGGCUGCCUCUCUGGUCCAGCCGAGAGGAAACGGCGGCCAGUGAGAGUGCUUUUAGGAAAGGCUCGGGCCGUGACUGGGGAGAGUCCCUGGGAAAAAGGAGCGCGUUUCGGGCCCUUUGCGAAAACGCUCCGGCUGGAAACACAAGGCUCCGAGAGGAAGGAGCCGCUCUCCGCUCUGACCCACCCCACCCCCUUCAGUAAGUGGGGACCCCUCCGCCCCCCAACUCCCCAAACGAUCACGCUCCGCCGAGGGGCUUCCUGUCUCUCGUUCAUUUUUGUUCUGACAGCGCUGGGAACCAACGGGGAGAUCGGGAUGUGCCCACCUCAUCACACAGACGAAAACCUCAGGCGCCAGAAUGGGGAGGAACUCGCUCAGAACCAGCCAGGAGCCAGCUGGGGCUCCCGACUCUCGGUUCUGGGAACCUCCGUGUUUUUCUGUUGGAAGAUAGGCGGGAUCGAACAGGAAGGUUUGAGGAGGAUCUCUGAGGAUUACUAUUGGCGUAGGACUUCAGACGGCCAUUGUUACCAGCUACUUAUUCAUCUCUGUAUUCAUUUCACAUUCAAUACACUUAUGUGUUGAUUCACUAAUUCAAUUCAUGUGUAUUGAAUAUCUGAAUACUCCCAGACACUAGUGUGGACGUCAGAGAUAUGGGAGGUGAAGAUGUGAACAUGGUGUCUACCUUCAGGGAACUGACAGUAUCAUGAGAAUUAUCAUGGAAUUGAUUUGAGGUUUUCAAAAUUCAGAUUACAAAAACAGUCUACAGGCUCCCACACCAACAUUUUAUUAUGAAAAAUUUCAAAUAUAUAGAAAAGUUGAAAGAAUCGCAUAGUGAACAUCCAUAUACUUACCAUACCAGGUUUAUAGUUUUUAAAUAGCAUCUACAGUUUGAUCCUGAAAGGUCAUCAUGUUCAGCCAAUUAUUAUUAUUAUUAUUAUUAUUAUUAUUAUUAUUUUGAGAUGGAGUCUUGCUCUGUCACCCAGGCAGGAGUGCAGUGGUGUGAUCUCCGCUCGCUGCAACCUCUGCCUCCUGGGUUCAAGCGAUUCCCCUUGCCUCAGCCCCCUGAGUAGCUGAGAUUACAGGCACCUGCCACCAUGCCUGGCUAAUUUUUGUAUUUUUAAUAGAGACGGGGUUUCACCAUACUGGUCAGGCUGGUGUCAAACUCCUGACCUCAGGUGAUCCUCCUGCCUUAGCCUCCCAAAGUGCUGGGAUCACAGGCGUGAGCCACUGUGCCCGGCCUCUUUGUAGUUUUUUUGAGAUGGAGUCUUACUCUGUUGCCCAGGCUAGAGUGCAGUGGCCCGAUUUUGGCUCACUGCAACCUCCACCUCCUGGGUUCAAGCAAUUCUCCUGUCUCAGCCUCCCGAGUAGCUGGGAUUACAGGCGUGUGCCACCACGUGGGCCUGGCUAAUUUGUUUGUUUUUUUAUUUACUUAGCAGAGACAGGGUUUCACCAUGUUGGCCAUGCUGGUCUAGAACUCCUGACCUCAGGUGAUCCACCCGCUUUGGCCUCUCAAAGUGCUGGGAUUAUAGGCGUGAGCCACCGUGCCCGGCCUAUUUAGUUAGUUUUGAGACAGGGUCUGGCUGCUCUGUUGCCCAGGCUAGAUUACAGUGGCACGGUCAUGGCUCACUGCAGCCUCAACGUCCUGGGCUCAGGUAAUCCUCCCACCUCAACCUGCUAAGUAGCUGCGACUACAGGCAUGCACCACUACACCGCGCUUUUUUUGCGUUUGUGUUUUGGUUUUGUUUGUUUUGUUUUUGGUAGAGAUGGCUGUGGUGAUGUGUUGCCCAGGCUGGUCUGGAACUCCUGGGUUCAAGGGAUCCUCCUGCCUCUGCCUCGUAAAGUGCUAGAAUUAGAGGCAUGAGCCACUGAACCCCACCCAACUCACCCAUUUAAAGUGUAUAAUUCAAUAGUCAGUAUAUUCAUAGUUGUGUGCAAAUAUCACGAUGUCAACGUUAGAACACUUUCAUCACCUCAAAGAGAGAUCCCAUGCCCUUUAGGUAUCACUCCUCUAUUCUUCCUUCCCUCCAACUCUCUAUCCCCACCCACCCUAAGGAACCACAAAGCUACACUCUGCCGCUACAGAUUACCCUAUUCUGGUAUUAAUAGUCUUCUAAUAUGUGGUCCUUUGUGCCUGGCUUCUUUCACUUAAUCUAUUUUUAAAUUUUAUUUUAUUGACACAUAAUAUUUUACAUAGUUUGGGGUACAUGUGAGUAUUUGUGACAUGCAUAGAAUGUGUAAUGAUCAAUCAAAUCGGGGCAUUUGGGGUAACCACCAUUCUUGAGUGUUCAUCAUUUCUAUGUGUUGGGAACAUUUCAAGUGCUCUCUCCUAACUACUUUGCAAUAUACAGACUGGGCACAGUGGCUCACACCUGUAAUCCCAGGACUUUGGGAGGCCAAGGCGGGUGGAUCACGAGGUCAGGAGUUCUAGACCAGCCUGGCCAAGAUGGUGAAACCCCGUCUCUACUAAAAACACAAAAAUUCGCCAGGCAUGCUGGUGGGCACCUGUAAUCCCACCUACUCAGGAGACUGAGGCAGGAGAAUUGCUUGAACCCGGGAGGCGGAGGUUGCCGUGAACCGAGAUCGCGCCACUGCACUCCAGCCUGGGCAACAAGAGCAGAACUCCAUCGCAAAAAAAAAGUAUGUCUUCUAUGUAGCUGUAUGUUGGUACCCAUUAACCAACCUUCAUUUGUCCCCGCUUCCACCACACACCCUUCCCAGCCUCUAAGUUAGCAUAAAGGUUCAUCCAUGUUUUCACACAGAUCAGUAUUUUACUCAUUUAUGGCCAAAUAGUAUUCCACUCUAUGGAUAUACCACAUGUUGUUUAUGGACAUUUGGGUCGUUUCUGCUUUUUGGCUGUUAUGAAUAAUACUGCUACAAGCAUUUGUUUACAAGUUUUUGUGUGCACGUAUAUUUCAGUUUUCUUGGGUACAUAGAAAAAUGAAAGGGAGAGGAAUUGCAGAGCCAUCUAACUAACUCUAUCAGCCAAUUUCUUUUAAAAGGCAGGAAAUCUAGGCUCCGUGAGGAGAAGUGAAGUGCUCAGGUUUUACAGGAAGGUAGAGAUGGAAAGAAGCGAGGCAAAUCUUCUGAUUCCAAGUCCAAGACUCUUCCUGCCAUUUUCUUUUUCUUUUUCGUUUUCUUUUCUUUUCUUUCUUUCUUUUUUUUUUUUUUUUUUUUUUCUUUCUUUUUUAAAUGGAGUCUUGCUCUGUCUCCCAGGCUGGAGUGCAAUGGUGCUAUCUGGGCUCACUGCAACCUCCGCCUCCCCGGUUCAAGCGAUUCUCCUGCCUCAGCCUCCUGAGUAGCUGGGAUUGCAGGCACCUGCCACUGCGCCCCACUAAAAUCCUCUUGCAAUUUUCUAAUGGCUCUGUGUAGCCGGGCUUCUGGCCUCAAGUCAUGCAGUAGUCUGUUAGUGUUCUGCUAGGCACUGAGGGACUCAGAAACCAGACAACAGACGAAAAGGCAAGGAACCCAGAUUUGUUUUUAAAUUUUAAAAUUUUAUAUUUAUUUUAUGUUUAUUUUUUCAGACAGGGUCUUACUUUGUCACCCAGGCCAGAGUGCAGUGGCGUGAUCUUGGCUCACUGCAGCCUCAACUUCCCAAGCUCAAGCAAUCCUCCUGCCUCAGCUCCCCAAGUUGCUGGGACUACAGGCACGCUCCACUGUGCACAUUAAUUUUUGUAUUUUUAGUAGAGACGGGGCCACCACGCCCAGCCAGAACCCACAUUUAUUGAGCACCAGUUGGUUCCAGGCAUCACAUAGACCUUCAGCAUUCUCAAUUGGUGGCAUUCUAACUACAACCCUGCCAAACGGCAUUAUGGUGCCCACUUUGUAGAUGUCAGCUAGACACUUAGAGGGGACGUUGCUUGCCCAGAGUUGCACAGCAAGUGGACAAAUGGAUCUGGACCCAGGUUUGCCUGAUUUGAAAGCUUAUGGUAAUUCCACUAAACAGUGCUCUCCUCUGUGAAUAUUUAAUAGCUUUAGCGAGGUUAGGGAGAAAAAAAGGGAAAAAAAAUACUCAAUAGCCUUAAGCUCUGGUACAAAAUUCUUCCACCUGCAUGAAUUCAAUUUCUCACUCGUUCAUUCACCAAACACUCACUGAGGCAUAUACGUGCCUUCUCUAUAGGGAUGCAGAGAUGACAUACUUCCAGCUCCCAAAAAAGGGAAACUGGGGGAUGAGUUCUGUGUGCUAUAAAUGAUCUCUUUUAAUAAAGAGCUUCUCAGUAAGAAAUAGACCAGGCACAGUGGCUCACGCCUGUAAUCCCAGCACUUCGGGAGGUUGAGGUGAGGCAGGCAGAUCAUGAGGUCAGGAGAUCGAGACCAUCCUGGCUAACACGAUGAACCCCCGUCUCUACCAAAAAUACAGAAAAGCCAGGCGUGGUGGUGGGCGCCUGUAGUCCCAGCUACUCGGGAAGCUGAAGCAGGAGAUUUGCUUGAAUCAGGGAGGCGGAGGUUGCAGUGAGCUGAGAUCACGCCACUGCACUCCAGCCUGGGCUGUUUCUCAAAAAAAAAAGAAAAGAAAUGAAAUGAAAUGAUUUCACACCAAGAGAUUACUGAACAUUUUAAAGUUUGACUAUCAGAUAUUGAUAAGAAUGUUAAGCAACAGAGGUCCCUAUUUAUUGCUAGUGGGAGUGCCAAAUGGUAGUAAUUAUUAUAGCUAACUCAUAGCACCUACUGUGUGCCAUACAUUGUCCAAAAUACUUUAUAUAUAAUGACUUCUGUAAUCAUCAUAGCAACUGUGUGAAGUAGGUUUUCUUAUCAUCCUCAUUUUGCAAAUUAGGAAACCUGGACAGAAAGGGCUGACUUAUGCAUUCAACACAGUAGCAGAUACAGUGCCUAGGGCCCAUGAUACUCUUAGCGACCCACAACAUUUAAACAUUUAUUUUAGGCUGGGCGCGGUGGCUCACGCCUGUAGUCCCAGCACUUUGGGAGGCUGAGGUGGGCAGAUCACCUGAGGUCAGGAGUUCGAGACCAGCCUGGCCAACAUGGUGAGACCCUGUCUCUACUAAAAAUACAAAAAUUAGCCGGGCGUGGUGGCACAUGCCUGUAGUCCCAGCUACUCACGAGGCUGAGGCAGGAGAAUCGCUUGAGCCCUGAUUUUUAUAUAUAUAAAUCAAAAGAAAAGAAAGGGGAAUAUAGCUUUGGAAGACCAGGCAGAAGGAUCGCUUAAGGCUAGGAGUUCAAGACCAGCCUGGGCAAGGUAAGACAGCAAGACCCCCAUCUCUAUAAAAUAAGAAGAAGAAAGAAGGAGGAGAUAAUUCAGCCUAAGUGGUGUUUAUUUUUAUUUUACACCACUAUAUCACAAAAUAUAAUUUCAUAUAUAUGUAUGA
Molecule: long non-coding RNA, 5339 nt
Filed under: Macaca mulatta (Rhesus monkey)
Lineage: Eukaryota; Metazoa; Chordata; Mammalia; Primates; Cercopithecidae
Description: lncRNA (ENSMMUG00000057532.1)
Source: RNAcentral